UGUCAGCUUUGGGAGCUCCUUAUUUGGGAAGGAUCAUGUGAACAUGACCCGCAUAGCCUUCCACAUCCUCAUAAACAUGCAGUUCUGGGAGCGACAUUUCUUCUUUUCCUCGUCUAGCUUCCUUUAAAGCUCAGCAUAGACUUGAGCUAGGUCCAGUGGGGUAGUAGAGCUCAAGGGAGUACUUCACCUUGUUAGAAUUACCAAUUGGUG
This 210-nucleotide long non-coding RNA is filed under the name Capsicum annuum. Its description in RNAcentral is "long non-coding RNA (CANN_LNC014444)". The record is from RNAcentral. Lineage: Eukaryota; Viridiplantae; Streptophyta; Magnoliopsida; Solanales; Solanaceae.